GUGGGGAAUUUUGGACAAUGGGCGCAAGCCUGAUCCAGCAAUGCCGCGUGCAGGAAGAAGGCCUUCAGGUUGUAAACUGCUUUUGUCAGGGAAGAAAUCUUCUGGGCUAAUACCCCGGGAGGAUGACGGUACCUGAAGAAUAAGCACCGGCUAACUACGUGCCAGCAGCCGCGGUAAUACGUAGGGUGCGAGCGUUAAUCGGAAUUACUGGGCGUAAAGCGUGCGCAGGCGGCUUUGCAAGACAGAUGUGAAAUCCCCGGGCUCAACCUGGGAACUGCAUUUGUGACUGCAAGGCUAGAGUACGGCAGAGCGGGAUGGAAUUCCGCGUGUAGCAGUGAAAUGCGUAGAUAUGCGGAGGAACACCAAUGGCGAAGGCAAUCCCCUGGGCCUGUACUGACGCUCAUGCACGAAAGCGUGGGGAGCAAACAGGAUUAGAUACCCCAGUAGUCC
Molecule: ribosomal RNA, 450 nt
Filed under: uncultured bacterium
Lineage: Bacteria
Description: partial 16S ribosomal RNA
Rfam family: Bacterial small subunit ribosomal RNA
Source: RNAcentral